UUUGAAUGGCCGCAGUAUACUAACUGUGCAAAGGUAGCAUAAUCAUUAGUCUUUUAAUUGAAGGCUGGUAUGAAUGGUUGGACGAAAUAUUAACUGUUUCAUAAAUAUUUAUAUUAGAAUUUUAUUUUUUAGUUAAAAAGCUAAAAUAUUUUUAAAAGACGAGAAGACCCUAUAAAUCUUUAUAUUUAUAUUAUUAUAGUUUUUUAGAAAAUUUUUAUUUUAAUAAUUUAUAUUAUUUUAUUGGGGUGAUAUUAAAAUUUAAUAAACUUUUAAUUAUUAUAAUCAUUAAUUAAUGAAUAAUUGAUCCGUUAUUGACGAUUAAAAAUUUAAGUUACUUUAGGGAUAACAGCGUAAUUUUUUUGGAGAGUUCUUAUCGAUAAAAAAGAUUGCGACCUCGAUGUUGGAUUAAGAUAUAAUUUUAGGUGUAGCUGCUUAAAUUUUAAGUCUGUUCGACUUUUAAUUUCU
This 465-nucleotide ribosomal RNA is filed under the name Hydrotaea irritans. Its description in RNAcentral is "partial 16S ribosomal RNA". The stretch from base 342 to 465 matches the Rfam family "Bacterial large subunit ribosomal RNA", at positions 2473 to 2596 of the family's 2925-position model. Lineage: Eukaryota; Metazoa; Arthropoda; Insecta; Diptera; Muscidae. The record is from RNAcentral.